UACGAAGGAUGCAAGCGUUACUCGGAAUUAUUGGGCGUAAAGAAUGCGUAGGCGGAUUUAUAAGUCAAUAGUGAAAUACCAGAGCUUAACUUUGGUGCUGCUGUUGAAACUGUGAGUCUUGAAUGUGAAAGAGAGUAGGGGAAUUCUUGGUGUAGGGGUAAAAUCCGUAGAUAUCAAGAGGAAGGCCAGAGGCGAAAGCGCCUACUUGGGUCACUAUUGACGCUGAGGCAUGAAAGCGUGGGGAGCAAACAGG
Molecule: ribosomal RNA, 253 nt
Filed under: uncultured bacterium
Lineage: Bacteria
Description: partial 16S ribosomal RNA
Rfam family: Bacterial small subunit ribosomal RNA
Source: RNAcentral